Callithrix jacchus (white-tufted-ear marmoset) is the source of this 5316-nucleotide non-coding RNA. The record is from RefSeq and is a predicted model, not a curated record. Lineage: Eukaryota; Metazoa; Chordata; Mammalia; Primates; Cebidae.
GUGUGAGUCUCGGCGACCCUAGGGUCCGGUGGCGUCGCCGCCCCGCAGGCCGGGCGCAUGGGCUUCUCCAGAGCUCUGCCUCUGAGCCGCCUCGGAGAAAACGGAGCACUGUGUGCGUCCCGCGGCGCCCGCAGCUUUCGGCGGGAUCUCAUGCUGUCACCCAGCCUGCAGUGCAGUGGUGUGAUCCUGGCCCACUGCAGCCUGGACCUCCUGGGCGAAAGGAUCCUCUGUCAGCCUCCAGAGUAGCUGGGACCCCGGGUGCUGGGAUUACAGGCGUGAGCCACCAUGACUUUCCUGAAGGCCAGCAUUCCCCGGCGUUUCCAGGGGCAUUAGGUGCGGGAGCUGCCUGUUCCAAGCGUCAAGUCCCUGCCCCUCAACUUGGCUUGAGGCUGUGUUCCUAGGAGACCUGUCCUCAUGCUGGAGCUUGGUUGGGCCCAGCCAGCACCUGCUGAACUAUGCUCUGAGACCAGCACCCACCUGCUCUCUGGAAGCACAGCCCCUGCCGGCCUGUGCCAACCUGGCACCAGCUGCCUGAGCACUGGACAUUCCCUCUUCUGUAAGGCAGGAAUGCAGCGGUGCUGUCUUAGCUCCCAGCCUCAAGGAUGUUCCCGCCUCCCCUCCCACAUCACCAGGACCACAGGUUGAGCUGCCAUGCCCAGCUCAGCGUUUGUAAUGGGAGAACUUGUCCCACGAGAGGGCUGGCUUUGCCACGGAAUCAUCACCGUUCAAAUGAGGAAAGUAUUUAUGCUUGGUGGUUACCCUUAUGUAGAGUCGGAAAACUUCAGAGAGUAUUAGGGAUAAACUGUAGGUUUAACCAGUUUGGGUGUCAGUAACUUAGUGGGGAAGAUUUUGUUGGUUGAAAGUGUCUGCAAAUGAGUCAGAACAGAUGGUUUGUAAAAACAGCGCCAAAUGUUUGCUGGUCGGCUGCGAAUUAAGAGCAUGAGGAGAUGCCACACGCCUGUCUGGAAUUUAAACAGCGGCAACUGGGCCCUCACGCACGCUGUGUAGGGCAGCAGUGGUGUUCUGGGCCAUUCACCUCAGAAAUAAAACCUUCACACACUCGCCAGCAGCUUCCCUUGCAAUAGGUCCAAACUCCAAAGGACACUGCCCCCACAGGUGGGUGGGAGCCCACCCCGUGCAGACACCCUGAGGAACCGGCACCCUGAAGAAGCCAGCAUCCUGUUGGGCAUGGUGGCUCACGCCUGGAAUCCCAGCACUUUGAGAGGCCGAGGCGGGCGGAUGACUUGAAGUCAGGAGUUUGAGACUAGCCUGGCCAACAUGGUAAAACCGUGUCUCCACUAAAAAUACAAAAAUUAGCCCGGCACAGUGACACACAUCUGUAAUCAUGGCUAUGAGGGAGGCUGGGGCAGGAGAAUCACUGGAACCCGGGAGGCGGAGGUUGGGGUGAACUAAGAUAAUGCCACCGCUCUCCAGCCUGGGUCUCAGAGCAAGACUCCAUCUCCAAAAGCAAAUAACCAAAAGGAGACCAUGUCCAUCUGUGGGUGGGAGAACUGGGACAACUCAAAGGGCCUUGGCUGAUGAGAAAAUCCCACCCUCAAAAGGGUACCUGCUCUGAUUCUACUAUUCCCUCUUCAAAAAAAUGUUUUAAGCAGGGACGGUGUUGCUGUGUGGCCCAGGCUGGUCUGGAACUCCUGGGCUCACGCUGCCCUCCUGCCUCCUGACGCACCGGGUUCUACAGCUCUUGGGCAAAACAGUGGCUGUGGAUCACAGACCACAGUGGUCAGUGGGGCAGGGCGGGUGCUGGGGCUGCGGGGCUGGGGGAGCCACACACAUGCGCCUGGAUGCCUCCUGGUCAUGGCCUUCCUGUUCCAGCCAUGCGGGGUCGGGGGGCUGGGGUCCCUGAGCUCCUCUGCCCUGACUGGGCUUAGUCUCUGGGCCUUUGACUUUGUCCUUUUUUUCUAGAACAUGGCUCUUUAGACAAAGAGUUCAAAACCCCUAGAAGAUGCUGGGCACGGCUCGCACCUGUAAUCCCAGCGCUUUGGGAGGCCAAGGCCAGCGGAUCACUUGAGAUCAGGAGUUCGAUACCAGCCUGGGCAACAUGGUGAAACCUGUCUCUACUACAAAUACAAAAAUCAGCCAGGCAUGGUGCUGGGUGCCUGUCAUCCCAGCUACUCAGGAGGCUGAGGCACGAGGAGGUUGCAGUGAGCCGAGAUCGCACCAUUGUACUCCAGCCUGGGCGACACAGCGAGAUUCUGUCUUAAAAAAAAAACAACCCCUAGAAGAUGACUUUUGAAAGAAGGAAAACUGAGGUGGAGCUCCCAGCUAUGCCAAACAGCAGCCUCUUCUGAGGGCUUCCGGGGACCUUAGCAGGCUCGGUUUUGGGGACCUCAGCGGGCCGUGGUUUGGGGGACCUCAGCGGGCUUAGUUUCUGUUGCAUCCCUGGAGCCGGCGUGCCAAGGCUCGCUGGCUUCCCGCUGCACUGAACCCAAUUAUCCACAGGCCGCUCCCAGAAGGGCUGCUCUUCCCAGCAGGCCCAGCCUCACCUCCCCAAUGAGGGGUGCCCUUCAGCUCACGGAGAAGGGGCUCAGCCCCCACACGGCUGCACCGGGACGUGCGUUUUGUGAGGCGGGCUCAGAACCACAGCUGGUGCCCCGUACCCCUGGCAGUGCUGUAUCCACCCCCAACCUACAGGGCUCAGAGGCCUCCUGGCCCCAAGGGAGGAGCAGGUGCAGCUGUUAGCACUUCCCAAAACAGGCAGGUGCUGGGGGAGGCUCAAUUAUCAGCACACAGUUAAUCCUCUAAUUAAAGGAGGCAAGUGGCGUUCACAGCCCCUCCUCUUCCCCAGCCAGGCUGCCGUGUGCUGAGGCCAAGUCUCCUGGUCUGUGCAGCUGUGGGCCCUGUGUUCUCUGCGCAGGACAGGGCUGUGGCGACCCCCAGCCCCUCCAGGUGCCCAUGCUGCACCCAUCCCGUUGCCCCCUGGGAUUCCCCCCUCUGGUUCACCUGCCCCUGCAACAGCCACAGCAGCCAGGGGGUGAGACCAGCCCAUGGUGGCACCCACUCUGUGGGUGGGGUGGGGCCUUCCUCGCUCUGGGCAGAGGUACCGGUGCCUCCCAGGCUGAGCCACCAGCCCCGAUGCCUGCCGGGCUCUCAGCUGAUGGCCGGUCCUGUUGGGUGGCGACUCUUCCCCAGAAACUGCCCUGCGCUCACUAACGAGCCUCCCAUGGCUGUGGGACAGGCUUGCUCUCACCGGGGCUGAGAUGACCACAGUCACAGCUGUCCCACCAUGGCCCCCACAGGACCCGGCUCUCCGCCGACCCUCAGUGAGGCUGGCACCGGGGGACGGAGACUCUCCGGUCAUGGGGCUCUGGGAGCACAGGGUGGGUCGUCGGCAGACUCGUCUCCCAGCGCCAGGUCCCCAGCCUGCCUGCAGGUGGCGCCCCUCCCCCGCGGGCCUGAACCAGGGCACUGCACACCGUCCAGUCGUUCACCUCCUGCCUGGGAUGGCAGGUGGGUGGCCGGGACCUUCCUCGGGGGAUCCCUGAGUGGGGGUUCUCAGGGCCUGGGGGAGUCCCCAGAGCUGAUGCGAGGCAGCACCCCCUCACCCGCUGGGCUGGGUGGGUGGCAGAGAGCCCUGCCCUCGGCCUAUGAGUCCAGUGCCCAGGGAAGCAAAGCUGCGGAACCUCAGACCCCUCCACGCUCCUCACACCCAGAUUGCACCCCACACCUCACGCAUCUUCCUGUGCCCACGCCGCCUCUCUCUGGUGCCAAAUUCUACCUCCUGAUUCAAGGGGUGCCCGUCGCCCCUCGGGGAGGUGGCACCUGCGUGGGGCAGACAUUCCAGCUUUGAACCCCAGAGGCCCACUUGGGGGCCCGUCCACCAGCCCCUCCGCCCCACGGGGGUCUCUAUGCACCAAAGUCCCACAUCCACUCAGGAAACUGCUGUGCUGUAGAGACGUCCAUCACUCAGACCUCGUCAUGCAAGGAUGUCGUGUAAAUAUGACACAGACAGUGAAAUAAGGGUGAAACACGGAGCUGUGUCUGUGAAAACAACUAGGAACGCUUUGAGGAGAGGGUGUGAGGACGCCUCCUGCACUUCCGUGGCUGCUGUUGGCCUUGGCUCUGUGGCGUCAGAGCACACAGCCUUCUCCGAGAUUGAGCUCCUGGGCCCGCGUGUGCCAGUGUGUGCCCGCAUGAAGCUAAAGCAAAAUGUAGAUCUUCUCAAAAUGGCUCCACUUCAUACUAUUAACCAGCCAGCCGCAGGUCCAGCAAACCCGCAGGUGGGGCGGAGCAGCUUCCAGGAAAACAGCAACAGCAAACCCACGGCCAUCUCCAUCCAGGACAGACCUCUGCAAGCCCCUCCCCUGUGGACAAAGGUGGAAGUGAGGGUGCUGCUCUCCAUAUGGGGCCAUAAUGGCUUUGUCCUGUAUGCUGUGCCUGGGAUGGCUUGCCCUGGGAUGCCAGCCCCAGUCAGGGAGAAGUCCAGGAGCAAGUACGGAAGGUCAUGCUCUCCUGCUGCACACACCUGUGCACACUCCUGCACAUACACAUGCAUAUGCCUGCACACACCUGUGUGUACCUGCACACUCAUGCACACAUCUACACACCUGUGCACAAUCCUGCACACACCUGCACAGCCCUGUACACACCUGCUUACACACCUGCUUACCCACCUGUGCACACUCCUGCACACACAUCUACACACCUGUGCACACUUCUGCACUACUGCACACACCACACACACCUGCACAGCCCUGUACACACCUGUAUACACACCUGUGCACACCUACACACACCUGUGUCCACAUGCACACAUCUACACACACCUGUGAACAACCCUGCAUUCCUGCACACUCCUGCACAUGCCUUCACACACACCUAUGCACACUUGUACACACUACACAAUCCUAUACACACCUACAGACACCUGCACACUCCUGCAGACACCUGCACAGCCCUGUACACACCUGCAUAUAUACCUGUGCACACUCCUGCACACACAUCUAUGCACAUGCCUAUGCACCCACACACCUGUGCACACUCCCACACCCACACCUGUGCACACACACCCACGCACCUGUGCACACUCACACACCCACAUGCCUGUGCACACAUCCACACACCUGUGCACACUCCUGCACGCAUGCCUGUGCACACUCACCCACACACCUGUGCACAUUCACACACCCACAUGCCUGUGCACAUACACCCACACGCCUGUGCACACUCACACACACACGCCCUGCGGUUGAACUCUGACAACCACCCCCCGUCCACAGCACAGUUGCACCUCCAGCUGUGUGCACAGCUCUGGCUUCCUGAGCCCCGGAAGCAGAUGUGAUAAACGUCCAUGUUUCA